UGAGUAACACGUAUCCAACCUGCCGUCUACUCUUGGACAGCCUUCUGAAAGGAAGAUUAAUACAAGAUGGCAUCAUGAGUCCGCAUGUUCACAUGAUUAAAGGUAUUUCCGGUAGACGAUGGGGAUGCGUUCCAUUAGAUAGUAGGCGGGGUAACGGCCCACCUAGUCAACGAUGGAUAGGGGUUCUGAGAGGAAGGUCCCCCACAUUGGAACUGAGACACGGUCCAA
Molecule: ribosomal RNA, 228 nt
Filed under: uncultured bacterium
Lineage: Bacteria
Description: partial 16S ribosomal RNA
Rfam family: Bacterial small subunit ribosomal RNA
Source: RNAcentral